AAAAAUCCCUCUUUGUAAUGGCCCCAGCAUUACGUGGCAGAACAGACUUUGGAAGGGGUGAUAGGAGUACCCAGCUAAUCGGUUUGGGCUGUCUCUCGAGCAGCCAUCGCAGGGCAGCAGAAGGGGGUAAACAGCAGGCGGUAGCUGUGGCCGCAGCGCCCGCACCCUCGUGGGACAAGGGAGGAGAAGAGGGUCACCAAACGUGCUGUCUCACUGUCUCCGCUUUCCCCCCAGGUGCUUAUACCCCGGAGCCCCUCAGCAGUUUCCGCUGGGCCCUUCUCUCGACUGGCCUCAUGUUCUUUUAUCACUUCAGCGUCUUGCAGAUCCUGGGCCUGGUCACCGAAGUGAAUUUGAACAACAUGCUGUGUCCGGCCAUCUCAGACCCAUUCUACGGCCCCUGGUAUCGCAUCUGGGCCUCGGGACACCAGACUCUCAUGACCAUGACCCACGGGAAGCUGGUCAUCCUGUUCUCAUACAUGGCUGGGCCCUUGUGUAAAUGUCUGCUGGAUUUGCUCCGGCUUCCAGCCAAGAAAAUAGACUGAAGAGUGGGAGCAGGAACUCAAGGACGCCAGGGCAGUUGUGAGCACAGAGACACGCAAUGCAGCCACCGCCCAGCGCGCGCUCCAGACUUAGUGCAUCCUACACCUAACCUCUGUCGAGCUAAUGUGAUCAUCCGUCAUGAUGGAAAUCUGCAAGUGCAGGCUGGGGGUUCGGAACAGGGGAUUGUACCAUGCGCUAAAGGGAUCGAGGAAGGCCGCUGAAUAUAGUAGCCAAAGCAGUAUACCCAGGGCCUGCCUCAGUUGCAUCCUCCCAUUCAGCUAUUCCUCUGGCCGGUGAAAAGCCUGGGCAGACAGAUGGGAAGCCAUCAGAGCUUGGUCCAAACUCACACUUGUCUCGGCUCAUGCGGUCAGAGCUGCAGAAAGUGGGAGAAGCCAUUCUCUGAAUGGCAGUCAUUCACUGAGCGCUCCUGACUGGCAGCUCUGAGACCAGGUGUGGUUUCCCCACAGCAGACUCCCCCCCAGCUCACAGUGAUGGUACCCCUCGGAUAUGACAGUAUUUUCCAUCAGCAGAGAGGAACUGCCGCGACUCACACAGUCACACUUGCCCUCUGAAGCAGUGGAGCAAUUUAAAAGGUGCCCAGUGGGGCAUGAAGUCUAAAGAGGAAAUGCUGAAACUCUGGGGAGAAUUUAGGUAGGUGGAGUGUGAUUCCUGAAGUUGAAAUCUGUCCAGACCACUGAGUUAACCACUAAUGCUAUAAAAAGAGAAUGCUGUGGGCUCAUUAAAUUACUUCAUUCUACCUGAACCUAUUAAUAUCGUCUAAAUCAUUAAAAAAAUCCUGUGUACCAUUAAACAUGAAUGAUGAAACUGGCCCUGAGCAGAUGGCUGCCUUAAUGGAGCACUAGUCCAAACCACAAUAGUCCUCUAGAGCCGAGGUGGCUGUUUUUAGCCACUGUGAUUGACACGAGCACGUGUCAUCAAAUUCACAUGGGGUGUGGGGUUUUGGGGCAACGUAACAGAAAAUUGUCCUGCAUAUAUUCAUUAGAAAUUAAUCCUGAAAUAUGCAUGAUGAAACUGAGACAGCAAAUGAUUUAGAAAGAGCCAGAGGUAUGUCAGCAAUGUCCCUGAUGGCCUUUCCAUAGAGGAAGAGAUAAGGCAACAGCUGAUAGAGGUAGCACACCGAGAGAGAUCCCUUGCUUGAAGCAGGCUCCCGUCUGGCCCUUGGAAGGCAGUAGCACUAGUUGCCCUGCCCGAUACUCAAGACAUUUUCCCCAAGCUCAAGUGGCGAAUAGGGUUCAUCUCAUACCACUCUGGAACUGGAAAACUGGAAAUACGUUUACGUGUGUGAUGUGCCCAGCGUGUGUAUGAGGAGUGUGGACAAGCUCCGAGCGGCCACAUCUUGGGCAUGUUUAGUUUCUGUCCUGUACUGAGAAAAUGGCAAAGGCUUGAUGGCAGAAGAAAGCCUUCCCACCUCACCAGAUUGUGCGGGAUGGCACUGCUACUGCCCCCUACCAGCUCACAAAGGGAAACACCCAGUAAUACACUGAUCUGGAAGAAAUUUGGAGCGGGCUUGCUUAAGCAUAGCCGUGCCGCCGCUGCAAUUCAAGUCUGCUGCUUGCCUCAGAUCCGUGGCCAGGGUAGGGUGCCCAAUAAAGGCCAGACUACUGUAUCACCAGGCCAGGAUUCACGGCUGGGUAAAAGAAUGACUGACUGACAUAGGUAAAUCGUACGGUUAGGGAGCAACUGUAGGCAGAUGAGGUUUCCCAAGUGCCAGUUUGGAAAGAAAUCCGUAUCAGUUCCUAAGUAUAUGAUUUCAAAGGCUUCAACUGUUUGUCUGGUUGUUAGCUUUUAGUAAGAAGUACCCAUGAGCCCCAAAUCCUCUGAUGAGGCCGGUUAAAGAAAGAAACCACAAAUGGUAACUCAGUUUUAACAUUUUAUUGGGUAAAUGAUUUUAAAGGUAAUAAUAACAAUAGUGUCAGAACUACUACAAUAUCUUUCCACAGCCAUACCUUACAGACCCACAUAAACCUUCCCAUUUUUCUUUUUCUUCAUUUGUAAUAUUAUUUUAAAGCCAUACAUGUCAUAUAAAAUGCCCAUUUCCAAUAGUUUCUUCAAACUAUUAAGCAAUUAAAUGUGGAAGGAAGGAGGAUCUAGUUAUACUGGAAGGGGUUUCAGGUAAUCUGUGAUGUCUUACUGUAAUCAAAAAACAGGGUGCUAAGAAAGGGACGAGGAGAAGAGCUACUCCAGGUAGCUUUGCUCAUUACAAGUCUCAACCACUGCAUCACCAAGAAUUCAUUAUGCUGGUGACCGAUUCAAAGUAAUUUUGGGGAACAUAUAAAACACAAAAAUAACUUAGAAACUAGAUCCAAAUAUUUCAAAAGUAAUCAACUUUCAUAUACAAAAACAGUCAGAGGUGGUUACAAAAGUUUGUUUUCUCAGUGCGUCUAUGUACCAGCGCAGUUACUGGGUCCAGAGCAAAAUAAAAGGUUUAUUUUCUUCUGAAACAGUAAUAAAAAACAAGGAAAACAUAUCUUUCUUUGUAUAUAAAGGAUCAAUGCUGGUCUUAAGAAUAACGUAAUCAGAAACCCUUAAAUCGAGAGGCACACAACGGGUUUCUGCUUUUAUAAAAUAAAAGGAAAGUCACCAGUUUAUUUAAAUGGAGGAGGUGCUCACACCCCUCAAAUAAACUUAAUUCAAUUUAACAUCACUAGCAAAAAUCACUUAGAAACUGUACAAAAAUAAAAAAGUUAACACAUUUAAUCCUGCAAGGUUUUUGUAAGGACUGGAAGGCAGGCUUUUGGAGCAGCAUUUGGGCAUGGCUGGGGGCUUCUUUGGUUUGAUCUAACACACACAAGAGAUGGAGCCUAUUCCAGAUGACAGUUUCGGAUUUCCUGCACAUUUGAAGGCAUGAACAGAGGCCAGUAUACAAACUUCCGGUGUGCUGCACACUGGGGCUGUAUGCUCUGGACUGAAACUCUUAUAACUGCCUUAAGUGGGGCGGGGGUGGGGGGUGGGUAAAGAGCAAGCCUUGCACUUCCUCCAUCAAUCACACCGGAGACUGGAGCGGGCAGGGCAGUAGCACAUAUUCUCGUGCAGUCAGAAGGCCACUUAAUGGGGGGGGGGGGGGGGGGGGGCAAUUGUUCUUCUAGAAUCUGGUACCUGGCUGACCUUUUCUAAGAACAAAAAAACCCUUCCAGAAAUGGAAGCCUUUUGCUACAUACCAAAGUAAAAUACGUACUAUUUUCCAAGAGGAAAAAAAUACCCAGUUGCAUCUGAAAACGGAAAACAUAAAUGGAACUAAUUAACAUUUAAAAGGGGGGCUAUGUAAACUUUGUGCUACUCAAAUGAAGUUCAAGUAUUACUUCUGAGCUGUUUAGAGAUCACUGAACUUACACAAUAUUCUGGUGACAAGAGUGCAAUUCACAUUUGUGUUUCUGCACAAAUAAACCACAACUGGCUAGAACACAACCUGUGCAGUCAGAAUCUUCGUCUGAGUUAAAAACACAUGCUACAUAUUUCAACAUGUUCAAAGUUAAUUCAAACUACAUAUUUAACAGCUUUGUAAUAUACGACAAAGGUGAAAGGGUCUAGCGUUUGUUUGAAGCACACCAUUACAAGUUUGUAUAACACCCUUUACACUACAAAGUCUUUUAGUCAACAGCUACUUAGACACAAAAAUGCACUGUGCGUUAAUUUGAACACAAAAGGAGACAAAACUAUCCUUUUCCCCCAAGCCACGGUGGGAAAUAUUGCUGACCUCGUCCUCUGAAGCCUGCAGGAUGGUUAUUUCUUCAGUAUAACAUUAUUACACUGGUAAGAAAAUCUGUAUAACAUCUGCAUAUAUCAAGAAUUUUUAAAAAUCUGAUAUGAUUUUAGAGUCCGCAUGACCAGUCACGUGACCUGCUCAAAAUUGAUUAGCACCGUUAAAUACAUAAACACACACAUAUGUAUGUACUGUAAGUAUACACACACACGUAUGGGAUAGAUCUUUUCUUUAAAAACAAAAAAACUUCUAACCAUGAGCUCACCCAGGACGAGGAGCCUGUUGAACUGAUGAGAUGAUAGAUAAGAUGGAUCAAUAUUGGUCUAUUUUGUCUCUCUUCGGUUUGCUUGCUUUAUUUACUUUUUUUUUUUUUUUUUCUUGCAGCAGACAAUAUCAUUCAGCUUGUGCUCAGUUUCCCUAUAAGGGCAAGAAAAAAUUUCCAUCAGGUAGCCACUUGUUUUUAUACUGCAAGACUAAAAUCUGCUCCAAAAUGCUCCCAAGUAGAAAUGAAAGGACUCAAAAUCCCUUUCUAAGGCCCAGCAGCUAGCUUUCUCUGACUAAUCUCUAGGUUCGGUGGAACUGGCUACCGAGAUUCCAUUUCAGGCUAACAAUUGGCUUCUUGGUUAAGGCAUCACGACUGAAAAUGGUUAUUCCAACAACAGAUGCUGCGGACGAAGGAAUACCAACAAACUUCUGAGAACUCUCAUCAAAAACAAAAGCAGUUUGCUUCGCCAUAAGGAAAAGCAGAAGGAAUUCAGCCGAUUAAUCUCACAAACUAGAAAAGGGUUUUCAAAUUCUGAACUAGCAGUCUGUCACUUGUCACAGCAACUACAUGUAUGAGCUAUGCCAUCUUGAUAUUCAGUGACAUCUCAUAGUUUUAGACUAUAUAUUCUGAACCACACUUAUAUUCGUCACUUGAAAUAUUUGUUUCCUGUUUGAAAAAAAUUUUACACACACACACACACACACACACACACACACACACACAUAUAUAUUUACUACCAUAAAAUGAAGGUAAUCUUUCUCCAGAAUCAUCUGUCAUUUUUCCUGGGGAUAUACAUAUAGACCUCCCGUUGACAUUAGGAAGUUCUUCUCUGCAUAUGCAUCAUGGGAAGACUAGCCCUGCAAAUGAGCUGGGCUCUAACAACUAUAUCGUAUCUAAGUGCCAACUCCGUUUUUACAGGGGUAACAUAACAUCUUAUCGAUAUAGUAGAUGUGUUUCUAUCAAAAGUAUGUAGUGCAGAAAGAGAUUCAAGCAAUUUUAUAGUAUUUCUAAAACUCCAGUAUCGUCCCCAUGACAAACAUGUCUGAAAUCACGACAUGUAUUAACUUUUGUUUCACUAGAUUAUCUUUACUAUUUCUUUAAAUGGUAGCUAAAACUGUCUCUGGCCAAUCAUGAUUAUUGAAACCUAAAGCUAACAAAUUUAAAUUAAUAUAUAAUAGACACAUGUCUCUUUUUGGUUAUUUGCUCAAAAUAAGUCUUUUUCAGCUUAAAAAAAUACUUAAGAGUAAGCAAUUUGUCUAAUCUGUUGUUUCACAUAAUCGAAACAAUAAAAUUUUUAAGAAUAUUUCUCUAAAUUGCCUUUCUUCUAACCCCUCUUAAUUCCACAUAAUUAUAUUCUUCUCAAAGGCACUAAAUUCUGUAUCUGCUCUCUUCCUGAUAUUCGCUGCUUUUCAAAAUAAUUUCUGUAGCAUAUUUCAAAGGUAGCUUGUACUUUCUUAAAACAGUGUUUUAGUUUGUAAGUUGGUUCUAUAAAGUGAUGAGGCAGUUUUUCCUGUGAUAACCAGCACAAUAGGCAUAAAUGAUUUCUCACUCUCUGUGACAAGUCCCAUCAUGGACCUUCGAAUGUUCUACACUAGAACGAAAGUUCGUCUAUUCUAACCAUGGGAAAAACAUAUACUUAAACAGUGAAGACCCACAUACUAAGCUCUCAUAGCAAAAUGAAUUUCAGACAAAUUCAAGAGUAAUAUACAAAUACCUGAAUUUGAUAUGAAUUACUCCCAAACACAGCUAUCAAAAAUUACCUAUCUUACUGAGGAAAAUGAAAGAAACACCUAAAUGAAAUCCUUAGAAACUGCAUGAAUUCUUCCAUCCACAGUCAACAGAAGGAAGGAAGAGAAGAAAGAAGGAAGGAAAGAAGACAGGAAGGAGGGCAAGAAGGACAGAAAGACAAACCUGACUGAGACAGCAAAGCAAAAUUCCAUAUAAUAUUGUAAGGAAAGAGAACCCCAAAAUUCAUAUAUGCUGCAAAAAAAAAAAAAAUCAAUGACCUAAUAUAAUAAAACAGGAUCAUCUUAAUAAAUGCCAUUUUCCUACCCGUUACCAUGAUGAUCUUAACUGACGAUGUCGAAGCUUCACCAUGGCAACGGAAACUAUCAUCAUAAAAUGGUACAGUAAAAGAGAUAGCUAGACCAAGAAGGGGUAGGGUCUCCUGGGAAGAGGUCUGCAGAGAGGCCCAGUGACUGGUUGUGUGGCUCAGUGUCAGGAAUAAUGGUUGUAUGGCGGAAGGGGAUGCCCAAUGCCAUUUUGGAAAUGAUGAUGCUGGCGAUGAGCAAGGUAUUCAGCAUAGCUCAAGGUCAUCUUUUCACUACGGUACCUGAAAGAAAGUUAGGGAAGAGACAAAGUUAACAUCACGAAAUAGGUGACAUGUGAAUGUCAGAGCUAGGAGGGACCCUUAGAGAUAAUUUUCUAGAUGAGGAAACAGAGGCCUAGAGAGAAGAAGUGACUUGCCCACUGUCACACAGCUAAUAAGCAGCAAAGCUGAGAUCAGAACCCAGGAAUCCAGAGUCUGAGUCCGGUGCUCUUUGCACUCUACCACUCCUUGUUUAAAUUGUUCUAGAAAUUGUAUUGCCCUCCUCAGCUCCGGUUUGCUAACAGGAAAGAACGGAGGAAAGCCAGCCUAUUACUGUCAUGCAUGCAUUUCAUUCACUUGACUACUUUUUCUUCCGGGAUCUUCCGUUGCUUCCUCUUUAACCAUUCCUUUCCUUCUGUCCACGUGUCUCAGGUCUUGCCGUUAAGGGAAAACAGUAGCAACAAAAAACUCGUCUUGAUCGUGGUAUCUCAAUCCUCUUUCCCCCCAUCUUCAGGUUUCUUUUCAUUGGCACACUUCUCAGAAGAGUAACGUGUAUUUUCUACCUCAUCUCACACCGCUCCUCGGCCCUGUGCCUCUUGGCUUCUACUGCCACGCUUCCGCAGAAACUGCUCUUUCAGAAGCCACCCCUCAUCAUGCCUGGCCUCUCCAUUAGGAUACCGCGCAGCGCUCCCUUUUGGAAGCUCUUUUGUGCCUUGUGUUCCACAACUCCAUACUCCCUUGGUUCUCCCCCUGCCUCUCGGACUGCUCCCUAUCUCUCUGACUACUCAUCCUACCCUCGCCUUGUAGGAGUUGCCUACAUUUCUACCUUCAGUUCUUCUGCCCCUACGCUCUGUCCCAGCUCAGUGAACUCUUGCCUCACAGCUUCAACUAUGUCCUCUUUACAGAUGAUCCCAAAUCACCAUCUCUAGCCAUGAGCUCUACACACGUACAUUUUCAGUGACCUAUUGGACGUUUCUAUACAGAUAGCCUAGGAAGCACUUCAAAUCCAGAAUCAAUACGUUAACGUAACUCUCCCCAACGUGGUCCCUCUCUUGGUGAAAGGGACUGCCUUGGUCCCUUUUAUUGAGAUGAAAGCCUUGACUGGCUCCUCUUCCCUACUUCCGAAUGAUGACUAAGUCCUUUCAUUUUCCCCACAAUAUUUUUUUUCCUUCCUUUCUUCCCAUCCCACUGCCACAGCUCGUGUUAAGGCUCCCAUUUCACCUUCUUUGGAUUGCUGCCACAGAUUCUUAGAUAAUAACAGUGUCUCCUAAUUAUUUUUCCUGUUUCCAAUUCUAAUCUUACACUUCCCCAAAUCCAUCUGUUCAGAACCCUUCAAUGGCUACCAAUUGACUAUAGCAUCAGGUUUAAACUUCUUACGCUCUACCUUCUGGGCCAUAUUUUCCCCAGUGACCACCUUCUCUAUGUACACUGAGAGACCAACCAAAUCAGACAUUGAGAAGAUUCCUUAGAACUUGCCCCAUACUUCGCCACCUACAUGCCUUGACUCACCAAGUUCUGUUUAAGUUAAUCCCUUUGCUCCCCCACUCUCCACCUGUCAAAUAUUCUACUCAUUCUUCAAGCCCAGCCUCACAUCUACCUCCUCUUUGAAAUUUUCUGUUACCCUCAACCCCCUCCUGGAAUUCCUCUUUCCCUACUCUAUGAUCUCAUAUCAUCUAUCCCAUUCUGCUGUAUAUUAAUAAUUAUUUUUGUACAUGCCCUUCUAUUCUCCUAGAAUAUGAACUCAGAGAGAGCAGCAAUGCAGGCAUUUUCAAAUUUGUAACUCCUCAGAGCUGAGAAUAGUCCAUUUUUAGACUACAGGCAUUCACUGUGGUUUUGUGGAAUUAAAAGAAAUGGAAACAGCAACUCAUUUUCCCAAAACGUUUGAUAUUUUCCUUUUUAAAUAAGUACCCCUAUGAGCCCGUGCAGAAAUACAUUUAGCAUUUGUCAGUUGUGCUUUUCAGCAAGCUUUCUAUCACUGCCAAAAUUCUAAGGUGAAAUUCAAAUUUGAGGACUGCUUAUCAGGAUCCUGGGGUUCUGCUAAGCAAUGUCAAAAGCUGGCCAAUUUCUAAUUCAGGCAACUUUCUUCAAUAAUGUACUCUAAAGGCUCAGAGGGCUUUCUUUAACAAAGCCAGAGUAAGCCCACAGAGCUAUGAUGCGAAGGAUGGGCUCAUACAUCAUAUGGGCUUUACUGCCAAGCAGAGUUCAUUGUAUUCACCCUCAGUACAGCCCUGCCAUUCAUUUCCACUCUGUUUCAGAAAGGAGAAGCAAGUAUAGUUAGAGAGACCAAAGAAAUCAAAAGGUUACAGGUAUACGCAUCAAAAUGUACUGGUCAGCCUUGCACUAGGAAAUGCCUUCUGUACCUGGUCAGUUUUAUGGUUUUCCUGAAUUCAUUAGUAAUCGGAGCUUUGUAUCCUCCUUUCCUCAGUAAGGAGUCUAUGGUCUGAAUAUGGUCCCAUCCUGUGGAGAGCAGACCAGAUAAAAUACCAGUCAAGCACAUGUAACAAGCACUUUUGGUUAAAUACAAAAUGACUGUAGAGGUCAGCUAUCACUGUCACCGACCCCUUUGGUCCUGAAAACAGUCGCACAGAAGAGCUAAGAUUUCAUCCUGUACAGAAGCAGGGACACCACGGGACACCUUAAAUUCUAGCUAUCCCUGCUGGCUAGCAACAUUGGCUUCUUUACCUCAACUGCAUUCGAAGGCAAGGAGCCUAAGAGGCUGGCGGGCAGUAACUGCUCGGUCGUGUCUCAGUAACAAGCCACAAACAUUGUACUCUCCUCUAACGGUGACAUCUUUAAAAGGGAAGGAAAAGCCUCACUGAGCCAACUCAGUAGUACUUAGAACUCCCACACUAACUCAUGGUAAUCGCCAUUUCUAACCGUAUCUUCUGCAGGCUAUCAAGUGCAUCUGUGUGCAGCGUUCAAAGGCAUUUUUAUGGGUUCUGACACGGGAUGCACACUCAUACCCGAGGCCCUCGACCUCUUAUGUAUGUUUUACAGAGUCAGUGGAACUACAGAAUUAAGAAAUUUUCGAAAGCAACCCAAAUAAAUCUGCAGAUAGCUGCUUUAAAGACUAACGCUCUCAUUUGGGGGUUUAAUGAUAUUAAAUUUUGUAGUUAUAUAUCAUAUUUAUAUGAAACAGAUAUGGGAAAACCAAAUUACCAAUGCUUUCUGAUGAGAAGAAAAGCUCCAUGAGAUAAAGAAGAGGUAUUCAUUUCAACUAACAUGAAACUAUAAUUUAGUAGUGGCUAGAAAGGACAAGAUACUACAGAGUGAAACGUUAUUUUGUGUUACACUGGUAGUUCAUAAAGGUUUGUGCCAUAUCUGUAAAAUCGAAAAACGUUUGUUGAUUAGGAACAUAUAAAACACUAGUAGUUCAGGUAUUCUCAAUGCUCCUUUUCUUCAUGGGACACUUACAAUCUUAAUAAUAGCAGAAGGAGUAAUGGCAACCACCUAAGAAGGAAACAUUCGAUACUGACAAUGAACGGUGUGGCUGAUCGUCAAACUAAAGGCUUGUUUAUGCCACAAGGCUACAGCCCAGUGGAAUAUGGGAAAAUGGCACUUAAAAUUCAUAGCAAACCAUUGCCUAAAAUAAAGCCCAACUUUUACGAAUCUAUGCUUUUUUUGAAAGUAUACUUUUAUAUGUUUUUGCCGCCAAACUUCAGUGCAGAGAUUCAACUUCUGUGUAAUUCACCGAUUUCAUACAGACAUUGCAGUGGCAGCGAUGGAAGAGUCAUUUCUUAUGAUCUAACAGCGAUCAAUUACCAGAUAUAACUGCAAGGUCAGAUAGCGCAUUUCAAUAUGUAUUAUUUGUUUAAAUUCUUCACUAGGUCAUAUGAAAUAAAGUACAACAGUGACCUUGCUCCUUUGCAACCUCCGGUAGGUAGGUGGCGGUGCGUUUUGAUCCUUUUUCGUUGAUGAAUUCUAUUCUAAUGCCAUGUACACCCACCUGAAAGAAAUCGGCAGUUUUAUUAGUACAGUCUUCUUCACAGAAACAGAAAGAAAAAGUUAUAAUUUAACUUUCAGAGAAUGCAGCUCUUCCCUUCCCCUUGCUUUUGGAAGGGCAUAUCUGUUUUCUCUUUCCGAAACACUGACUUUGAGGAUUGAAGGCCAUUAUGAUGGCCAUGGAGACUUGAAAACACUGAUUUUUGCAUGUGCCCAGCAUGCACCGGGCUAUGCCAUUCUGUUUGGAACCAGGACCACCAUUCUGGGGCUGUGUGUAGAAUAAGACAAUCGAUGAUGGCAAGAGUCCUGCCCCCACCCCCAAAUUGUGGCUCACGACAAUAAGGAACUAGACCAAGGGAACCGACUUCAGAGAGAUAGCAAGCAACCAUCCUGCUUUCAGGGAUAAUCACCAUUUCAGAUUGAGUUUCAAAACUUCUGGGACUGCUGACUCUCUUCCCAAACUGUCUAGUCUCUUUGAAACCUUGAGUUAUAUGUAGAUAAACAAACACAGAUAAGACUGAAAAAAAUCUAGCGAUCAGAUCCUGCAUCGUCACCCAUUACGGCAUUUCUAAAAAAAUGUAUUAUGGCUUAAAGUGCGCAGGUGGCAAACCCUCACUGUAUAUCUAUCUACAACACUGCUGCCAAAUCCGAGAGCAAUAAAGAUUUCAAAUGACUCUGGGGCAGGGCAUUUUUACACAGUUUCUUAUAUACUAACCCAGAGACCACUAUAACUUUAUUAUGUGAAAGACAAACUUUUGAUGGUGCCCUGAAAAAGGUGGUCUCCUAAGUGUGGGCAAUUUCUUGCUAAUGUUUUAAGAAAGUAAUCUACUUUUUCUUUGAUUAGCAUUCAAUCACAAGGAAUCUGUCCUUUCCCGUCAUGUCUCACACAGAAUAGUGUAUAGUGCUAAAGAUCACAAAAAGUUCUUAUCUUCUUUAUAUACACUGAUAACAAAAAUGACAUUUCAAAAGUGUAACAACUCCAUUCUGCUCUCCCAAAUCUAUGGUUGCUUUAGAUCAAGGGUUCCCAGGUGGAGUUUAAGGUUGUCCAAGGUCCAGGAGGGUAAACAUUUUUACCAGAGAAAGGGGCUUCUUUUCAGAGCAGGUGGCUACAUCCAUUCAUCUGUAUGGAGGUAAUAAAGGUCUAGAAGAGGAAAAGGGGUCCAUGAAAACUUCUUUUGUUUCUUCUGCGCUUAGCCUGAAAUUUCCCAGUUUUUCAGGGAAUAAGAAGUCCUCUGGAAAAUCCAUUUUAUUUUUUCCCCAGGUCUUCACACAUCCAUCCAUUAGAGUCUGUCAGAUCUUAUGAGCAGUUGAUGUUUUUUUUAUUAAAGCCUAUCUCUGUGGCUAUUUCUUCUACCUAAUAUCAGUAUUCUUAUGAAUAUCCUUCUGCUGAAAAUGCAAUCAGGGCAGCUGUUUAAAAACUAACACAGUAAGGCCUCUCAUACCCUGUGGGAAAUGACUAUGGACAGCUGAGAAGAAAUAUGAGUGCUUAGCUAUCAGGCAUUUCCAGGAUAAAGGACAUCUACUAAUCUCCCUAGUGCCUGACACGUUACGGAGACAAUGACAAAUUUGCAACAGUUUCUGUAUACUGACUUUCUGAUCAGUGACUUUGAAAUUUUUUCCUUCAACAAUAUUAGAUCCUUCAUAAUUUGUUUUUAAAAACAUACGGCAUAAAUAAUUUAUGCUCCCAUCAUUCACUGAGGUGAAUUCUGCAAAUUCAACUCAAUGUAUCAAAAAUCUGUCAUGUUAAAAUUGAAAAGAGUUUUGGUGUUUAUUAAGGUGUCUCAUCUAAACUGUGAGAGGAAGACUGUUUCCCUAUCUGUGAGAUGAGAAUGUUAGACUCAAUCAGUGCUGUUUAAUUGGUAUGGGGUCGGGGUGCGGGCUGCGAAGGGUAUCAGAAUUUCAGGUUUCCUACUUCAGCAAGUACAGUUUGUAAAAAGAAUAACUCCCCAGGUGAUCUUUAUUCCGGGUUAACUAGAUAACCUCUAAUAUCAGUCGAGCUCCGACAAACUGUGGCUAAGUAUUGGGGGAAAAAAAGUGAUUCAGGCAAAUUGGAGGUGAUUUAGACAUAAAUCCUUUCUUCAUAGGAGUACAUUCUGUGCUAUUCAACAAAAAUGACAGAGACUUUGAAGCCUAGUAAUUUAAAAAUGAAAAGAGGUAAGACCAAUUGCAUGGUAUGCAAAUAAUAUCUUAAUAAAGAUAUAUGCAUAUGAAGAGGUUAAGACCAAACUGGAAGGACAUGUUGACCAAAAUAAAAAUUACUCAUGGAUAAAACUGAUUUACUGUUGUAUUUUGAGAAGGCCCCACCAUCAAAUCUGACAUGAAAAAAAUUACCCAAAUUCCCCCAUUUUGAAUUAGUACCACAUUUACAAUUUUUAAUUCUUUUCUGUGUUCCUACGAUUCUGAACAAUCGAAAGCCCCUGUAAAUUGCACUGUAGGUAUGGCGAUAUCCAAGUGAUUCCUUUGUGAGAAAUAACUUAUUUCUUAGGUCAAAAAUAUACUCCACAGAGAUAUAAAGCCAAAGCCAGAGUGACUCAUUUUUUUUUCAACUAGUGGAAUCAGGAGAAUGGUAAUAACGUUCUGAACAGAAUCAAAGUAUAAUAUAGCCUUUUGUCACCUGUUGAGCAACAGCAUCUCGCUCCCAGAACCACAGACGCCACCAAGUAGUCAUACUGCGCAAUCAAAACAGGGGAGUGGAAAAUGGCCUGCUGUGGAGACUGACCCAAUCUGGCCAACUUGUGGUAAUCACUGGCUUUGCAAAUUAAGUCAUCUCCACUGAAAUGAGCACCAAAACUAAUUCUGUACUGUUGGAGGGAGGCAUCUGUCACAGCUGCAACUCCAAAAUGGAACCCUCGUGUAUAAUAAUUGAAUCCUCCCUUCAACAGACUGGAGAAUCCUUCAGGCCAGCAGCAUCCCAAGAGACAAAGGCUCUAGCUGCAAUGAUCAGCUAGAUAAGAGGUCAGCUAACCAGGGGUCUGGGAUUCCUUGAGGCAAACUUGCUAGAAAACUCUAUCGCAGUAACUUUCCAUUUCUCAGGAUGGAUAAGGAGUUAGCAUAUGGGAAAACUAUGUCACCAAACACCCCUAGCCACCACUGCCCAAAGUACAGCCAGGUGAGCAAAAGCUGGAGACGCGCAAAUCUAGCCUUAUCGGAGUCUUCAGGUCAUUUUCAAAAUUAUUAGAAGGUCUGGAGAGAAAAAUGCUUUCAAGGUCCAUCAGCUGUGAUAAUGUCCUUUUAAUCAAGACUGUACUUUUGCUAAGCAAAGCUAUAAAUCAACUCGAAUGGUAGCAAAUUAAAUGUAGGACUGAUAGAUAAGAGGAUAUGGAAUUAAACAGAACUGUAUCUGUGUGUGCUGUGAGCGAACAUUAAGAGCAGUUCAACAGAUUCCUAUUUCAUGUUAAAAAGAAAGCCAUGUUUAUUCCGAACCUUUCCAAAGCAAGUGAUUUUUAUUAAUGCUAUUAUACAAUCUUUUGUUUUUAACAUCACCCAGAAUGAUUAAAUAUCAAGAUUAAUGUUAGGGCCCUAAGAUAUAUCUUGAUUAUUCUGGAGUUGAUUAUUCAGUGUGGGGAUUAUGCAUCCCCAACUCCCCCUGGCCUCGGCCUCAUCCUCUUUCCUCUCUUGUCCAUCUCUCUAUUUGUUCACUGCUCUAUCAGAGAGCACGUGGGCACAGGGAAAAGAGAUACACGCAAAUUAAUCAAUUUUGCUACAUAGUAAAAAGGUUUGGUAGGAGAAGAGAUUAUAAAUAAUGGCUAAAAUGAAGCUUCUAGACUGUCUGCAGAUUUCAUUUAUCCUUGUUAUCUGGUCCCUUGUUAGAAAUGUGGCUUCAUUUAAAACUAUUACCCCCUAAUGCAGUGACUCUCAACGCAGGAACAUUAAAAAUAAGUGCCCUCUCCCUCCUCAUUAUAAUACAUAGUCCAUAUUAUGCUCUGCUCAAUUGCACAAAGUUUAGAACACCCUAGCCUGUCUAUAAGGCAAGUGUUAGUGCUAUAAUUCACUAGCCGCACUACAAAAGGGUCUCGCUUUUACUUGUGAGCCUAAUCAGCAAGCCAACAAUCUGGAUACGCUGAAACAUGAAAAAGUCAUCUGGCUAAAAGCAUCAGUGAGCAUAAAAUGUGCUCUGGUGAAGUGGAGUAGGCUCCACGCAAGCCUUGGACCAUUUGGGUCCCCAAUUACCUACACGGUCCUGACCCUCAAAGCUAAAUCUGCCCCUGAUCACAUCCUGGCCAAUAAAACCAAUUUACUUCCUCAGGUUCAUCCUGUUUUAGCAAUGUCACAGUUAGUCCCACUCGUCCCCAUUUUCAGAACCAAAUGUUGGGUUUCCCUGUAACGCUAUAGCCAUAGCUCACUCCACUGAUUUUCAGUGGGUUCACCUUGAAUAAAAUAAAAAAUAUCAGGAGGUCAAAGAAUCAAACGUUUGUCUGACAUGGCUUUGUUGCUGAUAUCAUUUGGCAAAAUAGGCUUUGCAAUUAACACAGCAGCCAGUCGCUGGUCAUUCAUGUAAGACUGACCUGCCAGGCUCAGUAUGCCAGUUCCAUUGAAUUGAAUGGAAGGACUCUGUUUCUAAGGAGAGGGCACCCCCUAACUUCUAGAGGCUGGCAUCAUAGGAGACACACAUGCUCUCUCUCACAAAACAGCCUGUGGUACCACGGUCAGAAACAAACACUGCAUUGGACAACCCAUGGGUCUGACCCAGAGUCUGGUGUUUCUAAUAUUUGUAGGAGGACAAAGCCACAAGUGAUAUUUUUGCCUGAAAGCACAAAACCCAUAACGCAGCACCUUCAACUCAUUCACUCAUAGCCCCACGGUACCUUUUGCCCCAUCCCCAGCUCAGCCUUCUGCAGACUGACUCUUCCUCUUCCCAAUGAAAGCAAAUUCCACAUGAAAGAAGAAAAUACUCCAAACUUGGGUCUCCACCAAGAAUAGUUCUUAUUUGAGCAAGUAAAAUUAGCAUUUUCAUCAUAAAGGCUGAUGACAAUUUGCACAGAUCCUAAUGAAACACUUCCCCCAAUCCUGAUAAUGUCGACCACACAAAAAUAAUGUCGACUACGUAUUGAUUGUCCAGAUCUGCCCAUCAAAUCCUCAAAGUUGUGAUUCCUCAUCGCUUUAAGCCACCCAUCAACUUCAGAAGUAAGUCUGAAGUUUUGAAAGUGUCCAUCUGAUUAACAAUUAACACUUAACAAUUAACAAUGGUUAACAAUUAACACUUCAGAAUCUGGCCAAAUAAUAAAUUUUAAAAACAGUGUUGCUGCAAUUCAGGGUUUUUUCCUCAGUAAUUUUUACUUUUGUAAACCUUAAAAAUUAUAAACAUGGAUUUUUUUUUUGUUUAUAAAAAUAGUACGUGCAUAUUACCAAAAAAAAAAAAAUCCCUUUUGAAAAGUA
Non-coding RNA from Delphinapterus leucas (beluga whale), 16152 nucleotides. The record is from RefSeq and is a predicted model, not a curated record. NCBI's taxonomy places the organism in Eukaryota, Metazoa, Chordata, Mammalia, Artiodactyla, Monodontidae.